GCCCCCGUCGUCUAGUGGCCCAGGACCCCGCCCUUUCACGGCGGUAGCGCCGGUUCGAAUCCGGUCGGGGGUGCCA
RNAcentral lists this transfer RNA (76 nucleotides) under Nocardioides sp. RNAcentral's name for it is "tRNA-Glu". It matches the Rfam family "tRNA". Rfam says of the family: Transfer RNA (tRNA) molecules are approximately 80 nucleotides in length. Their secondary structure includes four short double-helical elements and three loops (D, anti-codon, and T loops). Lineage: Bacteria; Bacillati; Actinomycetota; Actinomycetes; Propionibacteriales; Nocardioidaceae. The record is from RNAcentral.